GGAGAGGUACCGAAGUGGCCGUAACGGGGGCGACUCGAAAUCGCCUUGUCCCUUAACCGGGGCACGUGGGUUCGAAUCCCACCCUCUCCG
This 90-nucleotide transfer RNA is filed under the name Desulfonatronum thiosulfatophilum. It matches the Rfam family "tRNA". Rfam says of the family: Transfer RNA (tRNA) molecules are approximately 80 nucleotides in length. Lineage: Bacteria; Pseudomonadati; Thermodesulfobacteriota; Desulfovibrionia; Desulfovibrionales; Desulfonatronaceae. The record is from Rfam by way of RNAcentral. RNAcentral also lists the same sequence under 2 other names.